This 391-nucleotide ribosomal RNA is filed under the name uncultured bacterium. Its description in RNAcentral is "bacterial SSU rRNA". It matches the Rfam family "Bacterial small subunit ribosomal RNA", at positions 28 to 416 of the family's 1533-position model. The record is from RNAcentral.
GACGAACGCUGGCGGCGUGCCUAACACAUGCAAGUCGAACGGGACCAGGGGCAACUCUGGUUCAGUGGCGGACGGGUGCGUAACACGUGAGGAACAUGACCUUCGGCGGGGGAGUAGCCGGCCCAACCGGCCGGGUAACGUACCGCGUACGACCAUUGGGGACGAUCCCGACGUGGUGAAAGACAGCAAUGCGCCGAUGGAGUGCCUCGCGGCCUAUCAGCUAGUUGGUGAGGUAACGGCUCACCAAGGCGACGACGGUAGCUGGUCUGAGAGGAUGGCCAGCCACAUUGGGACUGAGACACGGCCCAGACUCCUACGGGAGGCAGCAGUGGGGAAUAUUGCGCAAUGGACGAAAGUCUGACGCAGCGACGCCGCGUGUGGGAUGACGGUC